AAUAAUUUCGUUUUUAAUUGUCAUAUAUAUUCUUGAUAUGGAAGAAUGUUUCUACACUAAACCUUAAAUUUAGUUCUAUGAUAGAAUUUUUUGUUGGC
Molecule: non-coding RNA, 98 nt
Filed under: Firmicutes bacterium CAG:449
Lineage: Bacteria; Bacillati; Bacillota
Also listed under: 1 other name
Description: Purine riboswitch aptamer
Rfam family: Purine riboswitch aptamer
About the family: Riboswitches are metabolite binding domains within certain messenger RNAs that serve as precision sensors for their corresponding targets.
Source: Rfam by way of RNAcentral